GGUGGUUCUCAGGUGACACACCCUGGAAUUGUGCUCCCUCCUCUCUGGUUCCAGGUGUAUCACCCAAGAACCACA
Molecule: non-coding RNA, 75 nt
Organism: Myotis davidii
Lineage: Eukaryota; Metazoa; Chordata; Mammalia; Chiroptera; Vespertilionidae
Source: Rfam